UUGCCCCUCUUGACAAAGUUACAUAGGUGCUUCCCACUCUUACGUUGUCUCUUUCUUUACUCUCUUCCUAAGAUAUUAAAAUGGUACCCCUGUGACUCCUCGUUGCCUCGCUACAGAUGCAUAAUAUUCUUAGCUAACAGAAGGAGGAAACAAGUCAGCUAAACAAAGGAGAUAAAUAUGGCCUUUUGAAGAGCAGCCAUGGCAGAGUGCUAUAUAGGACUAUGGAGAAUUAUCAACAGGCUUUUGCUUUAGCAAAUGUCAUGCUACCAGAAGAAUGGUGCAGUUUGCAGAAUAUUGUGAAGAUGCAGCUUGUCGAAUAAAGAAAAACAACCUCACCUCCGGAAACGUGGUUUUUUCUGUUUCGGUGGCAUCCAGCCAGUACCCUCUCAUGAGGAAGAAUCAAUUUGCAAGGUAUUGAGAAAAACCUGGGGCUCUGCCUUGGAGAGGUGACCACCCAUGAAAACAACUGACAUGAAAAGACUGCAAGAUGAGCUGUCAUCUUAGUAAAUUGGAAGGAGAAGGGCGUGAAGGCAGAGAGUGGCCGUGGAUUUAUUUUCAAGACGGCUAUGGAGACAGGCAGCUCCCAUUCAGCAGGAUGGUCUUUGUGUCUGGCUGACCUAUGGACAGAAUGUGUCUCUUGCAUUUCCCGACCCGAGGUGUUAAACCAGCGCAGCUCGGUGCUAUGGCAUGUGGUCUUACUGGUCCUCCCCUGGCUCUUUUGGGGCCUGCAGCCUGUGCUACAGAAGCUGGUUUUGUGCAUUUGCUGGAGUAGCAGUUAGCGAGCAGCAGUGUCCUGAGCAGCCCGAUACAUCCCAGCUCCUGGAGGGGUGAAGGGCCCCAACUCGCUGCGGCAGCGCCGUCCCUUCCUCUGAGCCGUGUCAGCACUGAACUUGGAUGGGAGGAGGCUUAGUGACCUGUCCCCAGAUCAGCCUUGAACACUCAAAGAAAAAUCUGCCUGCUCUGAAUAUUGCCUGAGGAUUUAGAAAGGUCUUUCCUCAAAACAGAAGAAUGAGAUGAAACAAUCAUCUGUAAAGCAUGAUCUGCAUCUGCUCUUGUCCCUCUUCUGUUCUCAGAUCACCCUUUGGCUUCCCUUAGGAAUCCAGCUGUGUCAUCACGUUGUGUGGCAUCCUAAUAUUUCAUACUAAGCUGUAAGCCAAUUAGGAAUGACUACUUACCAUGCUGAAUCAUAGGAAAAGUAUAAUGUGUCCUUCAUGUAACAAACCUCCUCUUUUUUGGCAAGACAGAUAACCUACACAUUAUAUUUAUAAGCCCUAUGGCUUUUCACGAUACCCAAUUAGGAUGCAGCUUCCUUUCACACUGCUGCAGUAUUUUAAGGGACUUGUUUACAGAUGGAUGCUUAUUGAAAGUGCUGACCUACCACCAUUAUACCUUAUAACAUCUUUCAUCUGCAGAGACCGAAGCACUGGACAAAACUUGAUGUUGUAAUCACCUUUAACAGGAUGAGAACAUGAGUGCAGCAAAAUAUAAACACCUUAUCCCGAGUUCCUAAACGAACCGCUGACCCUGGAUGAGGGUGCAAACAUGAUCACGUGCCACCCAGAACUGAGGGAAGUGUCAAUUAAAGUCAGACUGUAAAAUAAAGCCUGUUGUAUCUAGAAAGAAGAAGGAUGAACCACUGAUGUGGGUAUUUGCUUGAGGUACUGAAGAGGCAGUUGGAGAAUCAGCGUAUGGAUGUGUGAAGUGGUUAGUAAUUAGCAUCAAAGAGAAAGAUAUUAAAAUUUAUUUCCCAUGCUGAAGUAAUUAAUGGGCUAUUAUGCCAGGUGUCUAAGCUGCCCGGAGGUCUGGGAUAAAUAGCAUUACAGCAGAAGAUGCAAAAUAUGAUUUAAGGUGAAAUGGAAGGAUGUUCUAGCAGAGCACUCAGGAUGCCCCCCUUCUCCAAAUGCUGUUGCUUUUUCCUAAGUCGCUAAGUAGCCGCUGAUGGUAUUUAUUACCUGGGAAGAGAUGUGCUGCUUUACAUUUGUCUUUGGAUCCUAGCAGUGUUGCAAACUGAAGGCUCCCGCGACCUGUGCCUGACACCUGCGUCUUUCACGUCUCAUCUAAUCUUGUCAGGCUGCACCGCGGGGUGAGCAGGGCAGCACCCGAGUGGCAGCACCCUGUCCCCACAGAGGCCAGGUAGCUACCUACCACCCUCAGGCGACAGAUAUGACAUCCAGAGUUAAGGACUGCAUUCAGAUAACAACCCUGGCUGCGGAUAUGUCUAGGAAGAAAGGAUUUUCUCAGAUUCAGCUUCCCUAAAGCAUCUCCCAAACCAAGUCCAGCCAUUUUUGUUGUUUCUGCUGCUAACAGAGAUUGGGGCUGAACAAAGCGUGGGAGCCUCUGGGUUAAGGCUUCUUCAGCAAGGUCUGGCCAUCCAUUGCUAGGGUUCAAUUUGCUGCUUCACUGAUCACAUCCCCUUUGCAUUCCCUCCCAAAUACCUCGGGGACAAACAAGUUUUCCCUCAACCUGCCAGGAGAGAGCCGUGGUGAUUCACAGCACUGACAUCUGUGGCCGAAAGCAUAACUGCGGGCAGCUGUAGGGGAUCGGGGAGGUUCUGCCAUGCUGAGGAGUCCCACCUGGGCUCAGCAAGGCUGAGGACUCAGGUGUUUGUAGUGAACUCUGGUGGUAAGGUAGAACAAAGGAAGUGGUGAUGUAAUUCUCUCUUCAUAUGGAGGAUAAAGCUUAGGAUAUUUUUCUUGCUAAGAGAAACCUUUGAAUAUGCUUAAAAUCUCGCCGUCCCUGUGACGGGCCUUAUUAGCACUCAGAGGAGGCGGCGUGGGUUGGAUGGCGGUAACAUGUGCUGUUCUGCUGCACACAGAAUUGUGCCUUGUGGAGGAGACGUCAGAGCUGACCUUGGCAUGCACCUGCUGGAUGUCCAGAGGAAUCGGCCCAGUGGCCAGCCAGCUUUCUGCAGGCCAUGGCCAAGGACUUCUUGCUCAACAUGGGACCUCCAGAUCAGUCUGGGAACAGGGGAUUAGGACCCUGUGGACGCCUAAGCAGAUGGAUAUAGCUACCUUGAACACGUGGGGGAGAUUGUCUCAAAUGUCAUCUAAAAAUUGCCAAGUGACACUCUGCCUUGCCAGCGUGCUGUGCUCUAGGAUGGAUGAAAAUCAAAUGCUCCAGACCAGGCUAUGUACUUAUCUCAGGAUCUUCCCUCCGUUCUUACCGCUUACAUCUGUCUGCUCCUGCGGCACCAGUCUGCCUACGAAGCCAUAAAGAAAACAGAAGAGCAUCGUGUGUCUGUCUGAUAACCCCCUAGCUGUGGGACUCCCAGGAACAGGAGCUGAUGUCCAGAACUCAGCGGGCUCUCUGGGACUAUGGCUGGUGAGUCAGCUCUCUUGAAUGAAAACCGGAGCGAUCUGCACUCUUGCACUGCUGUUCACACCCGGCACGAGCCAUAAAGUGGGCUGCAACCUUUCAGUGCUGGCUCGGGGCUUCGCAGCAGCGUAGGUAAAAUGAGGUCAAAGCAGCGCAGCCUGGAGGAGAGCCCUGGAGAGCUGCGCUGUUGGGAGGGAAGCUGCUGCUUCAGCUGGGCAGCAUCUCCUCCCUGCAAACACAGCCACAUUUCUAUGUGCACCUCUCUCGUUUGGUGCCAGCAUGUAGGAAAAGGAAAACUGCUUCUGGCUUUGUAGAUACCUUGCUGGUCUCUUCUUUCUUCAGCACCUGUGAAGGAGCCCAUCCCCAGGGUCAGUGGCCAUCCUGGGCAGUGGUCUUCACGUCUGCUGGGAGCUCUGUUAAUAUUCAGGCUGCAAUUUAUUUUUUCACAUUUCCCUCCUCCUUACCCUGAGGUCGUAAAAUGUUUUUUUUUUUUUUUUUUUUUUUUUUCAGGCAGUGCCAUAGUAUGAAGAAAUACAAACUCAUGUCCUCCUGUUGCAAUAUAAUCUGCUGGUGGAAACCACGUGGAUGUUUUGAAAGACCGGGGGUUUCUUCACAGCUCAGACUGAUUAGUGUGGCUGAAAUGGGACUAGAAUCACAGAGCAACUGCCCUGCGUUGCCACACGGAUGUGAUGAAAAAUGACCCCACAGUUCAUCAGAAACACAACUCAGCCUUUAACGCACUGGGCUAAUGCCUUGGGAUGCUGAAGGAAACAUCUCAGAGAUGGGGGGAGAGGGAAGGAAAUUAAAUCUAGAAAAUAGCCAGCGUAGCAACUGCAGAGCUUGUGACGGGCUUCCAGGUUGAAAAAAGGAGUCCUGGACAGUUUUUUGCAGCUGCAGUGUUGUGACCUUGGAGUUGCAAUGACCUGGGCACACAUCUUAGCCUUUUAUCUGAGGCUUUAUCUGAGGAAAGAAACAGGCAGUGCUUACUCACGUUUGUGUUUCUGGGAUGCCACCCAAGCUGGGAGGGCUGUAUCUCAGUGUGGUCAGCAGGCUUGGAAAGGUGGGGUUCGCGCCACGCUGCUGGGAGUUGUCUCUUGGUGUCCUGGCUGUCUCCAGGAAUGAAAACUUUGCAUUUCCCAGAAGCGAGGCUUGUGUUCACGCAGCACAGAGAUGGCUGCCUCGUGAGGCUGCGAGAUAUCUGUCAGAGAAACUUUCUGUGGGCUAACCUAACCCUCACAGAUGUGACUUGCAAAAAGGAAAUCUUUUUCUCCGAAAACCAUCUCUGGUUCCUCUUUCACUCUCAGUGCCUGCAGCACCGAGCACUGGGGGGGGCACAGCCAGGGCUGGACCAAACCCCCUGAGCUCUGGGGCCAGGCAGCAGUGAGCCUGGCUGUGCCGCGGGGAGCGGCUGAGAGCCCGGCUGGGAUGCAGCCCCGCACGGGCUGGCUGAAUGAGUGGGGCAUCCUCGACCCGUGAGCACUUUCAGAUUUUUUUUUUCCUGUAAAUCUAAUUUUUUCCCCUGUUUUUACAAGUUCUUUUGUUUCACAGCCUCGAGUUGCUGCAGCCUCACAAGGCAGAUCGUUAGGAGCAGCCGUGUGAAAUUGUGAUCAAGUGGCACUGGGCAGGAGGUUGAGUUAUUGCUGUUGGCUUCCAGCAGAAUUUUGUAAAAUUGCACAAAAUUGGAGGCUUAUUUUUAUUUUAAGGCAUUAUUUAACAUAAAAGGAGGGUAUUUUAAUAAUGAUUAAAACUAUUUAAUGGAGUUUAUCACAUAAUUAAGGACUUCUCUAGAAUUAUAUUUGAGCAAAUCCUUGGCAAAAUUGUAUUUAAAUUCCAAACAACUUGUUCUCAGCAGUAUUAUUUCUAGAUUUCAUAUCUUUUCAAAAUUUUUUUCUCAGUUGCAUCAGCCAGUUAGAAAAUGCUUAACACUUUAACCCCGUCAGAUUUCCUACAAGACUUGCUGUUCAUUACACUGCUGUCAGGUCCUUGCGAUUUCAGCUGACUGUGAUUAAUAAUAUUUAAUUUUAAUUACUCGAGGUACAUUUCUUGUUUUUUUCAGAAGUGUGUUUGUCACUUGCAGAAAGCACCAUUGACUCUCUAAUUUUCCCCUGGGGGAAUUAAUCCUGCCGGGUUCAUAUUUUAAGCUCUGUGGGACCAGAGAGGACUGGACUGCUUUGCUUUGCACCCAGCAAUGACCACUUCAGCCUGUGCAGUAUUUGUCUUCUCUGCCGGAUUGUGUGAUUCUCAAAGCAUUAACGUGGUAGACAGUUAAACGAUAUUUAAACUACCUUAGGAUUCGGAUGACUGCAAAACCCGAAACCUCUGUGGGCUCACAUAUGCUUCGCUGCGCUUGCAGCACACAGCCGGCAAUCUGUGAAACAGCCCAUCGCCGAUGGAAACACAAACAAGGGCUGUCAGAAAAUUUCUGUUCAAAGGUCACUGGUAAAUGAUAGACACUUAAAUGCUGCUUUGUCUCUGUUCCACAAGCUGGAAAAUAAUAGGAUUGGAUUUUGAUCAAGAACUCUGUUUUAUUCCCUCCAGACAUUAGCUUUGUGGUACCCUAAGGUGUAUGGUUGAUAGUAAAGGAAGAUUUUUGAUGGUUCUUUUUUUUUUUUUUUUUAAAUCAGCUAUUUAUAUACAGUGAGCACUGUUGGUUUUGGCUGGGAGUCAGUGUGUUUCUCCCGAUGCUUACCAAAGCCUGAAAGCUGAGAUUGCUCCAGACCCUCUAAUAUCCGAGCUCCCUGUGUGCUUCUGAUACUGUCAGCUGGGGCAGAUCAACACACCAUCAGUGAACGUGGGGAUUUUGGUUUUCUUUUCAAACAAGGGCACUGCAAAGGUCCUUCCACAGUGAGCCCAGUGAGCCAGUUUCGGAGCAGGGAGCUGUGGAUGGUGCUCACACCUCUGAGCUGUGGAGAGGAGUCUCCUGGCCGGCAGGACGGGAGCAGAGUCGUGUUAGCUGUGGGCUGGAGCUGCAGAAGUCUUCCGAACCUUUUUGACUCAGUUUCAGGGUAUUUCCUAAGGGACCAUUUGAAUGACCUGGAGUCUGUAUCCCCAGAGAGGCACCUGCCCUGCUGCAGGAGGCUGAGCUGGGGUGUGUUGGUGCACCGUUCUUUUCUUGUUCACAGGCUGCAUCACAGAUCAGCUCCUGCUCUUGUAGGUUCCCAUUCAAUUUAUGGGUCUCGUCAUGGCUUUUAACACCCAAAUAGCUGCCUCAGACACUUCUCACGCUGUCCAGCCCAGUUUCCAUCAGUGCAAACUUUAGCCCUUAAUCUGCCUGAAAACAGGGUUGUUUCCAUCUGGAUGGUCACAUCCAAGAACAGUUUCAGCUUAAGAACAGUGUUUCCAUGUAGGGCCAGAUUCUGCCACUAUAUCUGAGACCUCAGAAUUAUUCCAUGUUAGGGAUCAGGACCCCAUGUGCAAGGUGCUGUACCAAAAUAAGACAUACAGGUAGCUCCUGUUUUAUGGACAGUGUGAUAUAAAUUUAACAGCACGUUUUUAGGGUAUGUCCUUGCUCCUCUUCACUGACAAGAUCAAGAUGAUCUUCAAGUGAGGAGUGAAAUGAUCCAUAUUCUGCAGAAGGGGAAGAAAAUGUUUUUUUUUUUUAAUGCAGAAGAAAAGUCCUUUUUGUUUUCAAGAGGUAUUUCAUUUUCAAGAAAGCCCAUUCCCUCCUGUCCACCUGUACUGGGUCUUCUUCAGCUCCAUCUUUGUGCAGCACAGUAUUGCACCCUGGCCUGAUCCAGUAGCUGAAGUGAGUAGUGAAGGCGUCGUGUUUGGAGGUAAUUAAAUGUUGCUGCUCUCAGCCCUUGCCCAACAGUGUACCCUGUACACGAUGUGCCUUACCGGAGACUUCGCCCUGCGUUUUAGCGUCGUUUGGUCAUUUCACUUCUAAUAGGCCUUCCACUUCCAUUGCAUCCCCUGAGUAAUGCCUGCGUGGAGAACAGUGCAGUAACUGACUUCUCCCUAAUCUGAUUUCUGAUUCUUAGUGGCCUGGGUAGACCAGCAUUAGUUUGCUAUUUCAAUCUGAUCCAUCAGCCCUUUGCUGCACAGGGCUGCUCUUUUAUACCACUUACGUGGUGAAAUAAAACCAGCUUGAUUCGGUUGGUCUCCAAAGCGAGGCCAACCAGGUCGUGUGUGUGCAGAGCAGAGACGAUUAACAGCUUCCCACUGUGCCAAACCGAGUGCAGGAGCUGAGCAAAGAGGUCUGCUGUAGGCCAGGAGCUGCUGGGGAGAAAAGGGGCCUCUGCAGGCUGUGAGCGGAGUGUGUGAUGCAAUGUGGUGGGAACUGCUGAUGCACUGAAUUAAUGCUUUGUUGUCUGGCUGCUGGCAGGAUUCUCUUGAUCCCUUUAUCACCAGUUCUGCAAUUAAUGGCUAAUUUCUGAAUGCACUUUGAAAUAGAAAUCCAAAGAAACGUGCUGCUUCUAAUGUGUGUGAUGGAAGUUAGUUAAGUCAGUUAUUAGGUUAUAGCUGACAACAGAGUGCCAAGGUGGGGAUUGGUAUGGUUUUGGGGAUGGAAGAUCAUUGCUCUCUCCUUUACAGAGAGAUAUUCUUCUCCCUGCUGUCCUAGUCCUUGCUGGUGGAUUGUAGUCUGGAAAGAGAGAAAACUGACAGAAGGAAGGUACAAUAGUCUGUCCCGAAUUAAAGGAACUGAGUUUGGUGGAAGGAUGCUGCCAUUCCAUCAGAAGGUCCUUCCUGGGAAUUAGGUGAGGUUGGUAAUUCCUGGGAAUUGGGUUAGUUUGGGCAUGUGCCAGACUCGUGGGCUCCUGAGCCUGGAAGGAUGUUGCAGACAGACACAGUCAUUACCACCUAACCUUUCCUUCAGAGCAGCUGGCUCAGGAAAGGCACAAUGGGGCAAAUCACAGCGCUGACAAUAUAAUGAGACAAGGGUCGGGGUAAGAAUAGCUUUGGGACCAGUGAUUUGACUUGCUGGAUCCUGGAAAAGACCUGCUUGAGUCUGAUGGAAUUUGGAUGCGUUCCCGAUUCCCUUUGAGCUUCCCCUUUCUCAUGGCUCACUGUCAGAUCUGCUUGUUGCUCAAACCCACUGAGAUUUCUUUACUUGGCAUUGCUGGACUGCAUGUCCAAACCGAGACCUGAAAUUCCUCCAUCCUCCCUCGCUCUGUCCACCGGCCCCAACCUGCACGAGAGCACAUGAUCUCCUGUACUUCAGUGAAUUUGCCUAGCAGAGCAGGAGGAUGGAGAAAACAGCCUGUUUCUUCCAUGUUCGACGUGUGUGGCUGACAGUGGUGAUAUUCUACUUGUCUUUUUUGUCAGCAAACAAAAACCAGACACGUUUUGGAGUGAUUUUUCAAGGGCUAUGAUCUCAAAGGCCUCUCACAGCUUUGCAACCUCUUUUGCAAACUCCAAGAGCUUUGACAGCUCCUGGGUAGGAUUGCACAGAGCUUGGAGUGGCAUGUGCCAAAGUCAUCCUGCUGCUUGUGUCACCCGUUUCAAUGCACCAGCAGCUCUCAGCCUGCCUGCACAACCCAGGUCUGAAGUGAGGGCGGAGGUGUGCAUGGGAAAAGUUGCAGGCUGGGGAAGGGUGGAUUGUCCCACAAAUUGCCUGUCUCCUUCUGUCAUACGCCAGCAUCAAAGGUCUCCGCUGUGACCUCUGAGGACAGCUGUGCUUAGCACGGGGAUGAAACUGCCUGUGUGACAAAUUUUUACGAGCUGCGCCUUGGCACUCUGACCAGACUUAGGAUCUGGGAAGGUGGCUAGGUUCCUUUCCGGCAAAGUCACCAAUAAGUUGGUGUGAGUCAGGAGCUUUAUGAAUACCUCGUUAACUGCACUUUUCUCUAGCUUGGCAUCAGUCACAGAAACGUGACGGAGGUAGACACGGGGUGAAAUGGUUCCUUCACUGCUCAGAAGCUAGUGCUGCUCGUGGCCCGUCCCUGUCCCUCUCAGCAGCCAGCGAGCAGGACAGGGAUGUAGGAAUUCCCUGACUUCCUCGUGGGCCACGAGAAGUAACAACUGCUAUAUUGGGAUUGUGGGCUGACUCUAGGAUUGGUGGAUACGUGUUAGGAGGAUUACUGUAAUGCUGUUCAAAUGUUUGGAGAUUUGGGUAUAAAGGCUUAAACCUUGGCUUUUAUAAAGGGAUUGAACCUGGGUGUCUGAAGCUAAGAGCAGAAGAAUUUAGUACCAGAUAGAAAGAACUAUGAGAUGGGUAAAAGUGGUAGCAGACUGUACACAGUGAAUUUGGUACAGAGCAGGACAAUGUAAUAAGGAUCGAUCAGUAAGCUGUAUUUGGAGAGUUUUCCAGGACAGGCUUAUGAGAAGGACAGAGAGCUGUUAAAAUCGCUGCCCCCUUUUUGUGUCUGUCCCCGACACCAAAAGCUUUAGGGCAGGGUGCUUGAAUGUUGUGGUGCUUGCAAGGUCUGGAGCCAAGAUCUGAGCCAGGGGGUGUCCACCCAUCAUAUUCCACUUUUCUGCCCCAAAGCUCCUUUAUCUGUUCCCUCAUGUCACAGGUAAAGAGAAGACUAUUCGGUAGCCUACACAGCAGCACAGUCUUACGCCUGUUCUCCAUUUCCAAAUCUUUGUCUCUGUUGCUCUACUUAUGGGCGGAUCACAAAAAUAAUUACCUAGAUUAACCAAGCACCAAAACACCCUAAGUGAUCGUCUACUCCAGAGAAUAACAAUGAUUAGGUCUUCGUCUUUGCUUAUCUCGGGUUCCCAUCCUUAAAAUAAGGGCAGCAAUAUUUUUCCUUUUAUAAGAGCAGGACAGACUUGUUCACGUUUGAAGCAUUAAUUGUUGUUGUUAUUAUUACUCACACGGAUGACAGGGCAGCACCUAAUGAACGCUGGGUUUGGUACAAUAGGCCGUGACUGCUAUUGUUGUGACUAAGGCUGCGUGAGUUGGCUGGGCUGCCUGUUUACACCGAUGCCAGCCCCACCACCUAGCUGCGGUCCCUUUCUAGCUCUGCGGCCAGGAAGUUCUUCUGGUGCUGCUCGGUUUGUAUCACACCUCUGUCCUCUCAAAAGGCAGCAGCCCUGCUCGUGCUGGAGAGCAUCUCGGAACUGGAGCCGCUCAGUGUGUUUUCUUACUGCCUGGCGGUGGCAGAGGUUGUCUGCAGCAUUUUCUUUUCCUUUCUGCUUUAAAAGACAUAAAGGGGGAAGCGGCUCUGACUUCCAGCUGUUGAUUUCAGAUGUUUGCCGCAGCGUGAGUCCUUUGGGUUGUUAGAGAGCCAGCGCAGAAGAAACAAUUUCCUUCCAGCGUGUCCUUGCUCUAAGACCAACCAUUGCUCACUGUUCCAUUCUCAGACAACGUUUCUAUUUAUAUUCCUUGAUAAUUCGCUGGGCGUGCCCUGGUGGGCAAGUGGGGUGACAAAAUGGGACGCCACGUGUGUGUAGGUGGGGCAGUCGGAGUGGCAUCUUCUCUGCUGUUUCCCCCAGCUGAUUCCUGUUGCUGCUUCCCCUGGCCAAAGCCACCACACGAAGCAAGAGCAGCCUUACAGAUGAGCCCUGCCCAGCCCCGACAGGCCGAGCCGCACGAACCACGCAGCCCUCUCCCUCCCUCUGGGGCCACCUCUUCCCGGCUGCUGCUGGCCCGCAGCCCACCCCUCCGCCCCCACAGCCCCGCAGAGGGUUUUGGUGCUCCCCCCUCCCGCCUCCGUGUGAAUGUUCCAGCCAAAGGCCACCUCGGAAGGCUGGCCGCGUGGCGCCUUGCGUCAGUCCCCGCACGGCUCAUGAUUCAGCAGUCAUACGGGUUUCGUACCUGGGAGGGCCGUGCCAGAAACCACAAGUGUUCCUAAGCCAGGAACAGCAAAAGGAACUGGGAGUUUCCACGCAGAAACCCGACAAAGUCUGCAGCAGGUUUUCUUGUAAAUCAGUUGCAUUACAUUGCCAAGAGACUGGAUGAGAGGAAGAAAACGGGCAUCUGGAUUUGUAAAGCCCAGAAAGCCUGAGAUCUUCUGGAGAACAAAAGUGACACGUCGCUGCUCUGAAGUCUGUUAAAAGGGAGCAAAACUCCUACUGGAAGUGAGGCUACGAAACCAUUAAGGACUUGGGGAAAAUCCCAGGCUGUGAGAUCAAUUACAACACUCCUGAGGUGCAUGGGAGCAAAAUGCAAACAUCUCUGCGGGCGUCAGCUUGGAUAUCAUUACUCAAACAAGUGUUGGCACAGCAGCAGUCACUGCGGCGUGCGAGCCGCGUGUCCUGGUGCCAGAGCCCAGGCAGAAGGGCUGCCCGGCUGCUGCCGGGGCUCACCCGAGCAGGGGCAUCUCCUGGCGUCCCGCGAUGCAUCCUGCCAGCCCUGGCUGCCGUCGAGCCAGGAACGCGUGCCAGCCAUGGCAAGAUUGCUUCUCACUUAGCGUAGCAGGGGCUGGGACCCGGCCUUAUUAAUUUCAUUCAGCCGUUGGCUCAAACGCGUAGAGCUGGCACGGAGAGCUGUGACAGCGAGUGCUUGUGCUGCGAGCACAGGAAGCCUUGUUCCCUGCCUGCAUCCUGCCCGUUUGCCGCCCCCUGCUCUGUGCAGGGAUUUAAGAGCAAUACAUUUCGGUGCAGGGAGGAAGGGAAGGACUGAACAGCUGAGGGUUGGCAAGACAAUAGCUGCUCUUUCACUCGGGGUUUGUAGCUGUGACGUAGCCAAGAGCAGUGGCUGGCGUGCAGCUGUUUGGGAGAAGGGAGCUGUGAAGAUGGGAUUGAAGGAGUGGGAGGGAGGGCUGGCUGCAGCCGGGGCCGUGGGCCGUGGUUUGCGCUCAGGCAAAGUGGCACCACCGUAAAUGAAUGGAGAGAGGGGCAGGGGAUGGUAGAGAACCAAGCCCGGUCUAUCCCCAAAUGCCAUCCUGCGUUAAACGAAAACAUCCCAGGCCAAGGCUGAUGUCGCUGACCUUCUGGCCAGGCUGUUCUCUCUCCUGCCUUUCUCCUCCCCUCCCAAAGCAAGCUUUUCUAGUGUAUCCAGCAGCGUGGGUUGCAGGCAGAGACGGGGAUCCCCUUGAACUGUGAACUCUUACAGGCACAGGAAUCCUCCCUAAAUAGCCUUCAAGUUGUUCUCCCAACAUGCCUGGAUUGUAAAUGUUUGCCAGCUCCACAGAAGGGCUGCCUGGCUGUGAUCAAACAGAAGGCUUAAUGAUGGGAGAUGUAAAUGACUGCCAUGGUUGCUGGUCAAGGAGGAUCAGCACAGCAGUGGGAGGUGGAUUCACGUGGAGCUGCUCUGUGCUAGAGGCAGGGGUUGGAGUGGGGCAGGGGGAUCCAGCUGUGAUGCGCACCGAAGCAUUUGGGGGUGAUGUAUCGGCUCUUCUGAGCCCGGGGCGCAAAAUGUACCUGCAUGGCUUCAGCAGAACUCUGAGCUCUGGCAGUAUCUGGUGUGGCUUUGGAAAAGUUGCAUUUGAUAAAUAAUUGGAAGCAUAAAUUGUGUGCAGGAGUGCAGGAUGGUGCUCUUGCCACUGCUGAGGCUUCCCUACCAGCUCCUGCAGUGCGUAGCCGAAGGAUUACAUCCCUUUCCCUCAUGCCAGUACUCUCUGUUGUAUGACAUGUUUGAUAGUGCAGUGUCGGGAAAAAAAAUACAUACCUGGCACCCAUCCAAGAGCUAUUUAUAGUAUGAGUUCCUAGAAGAAAGCGUGAAGACUUCAGAAAAGGAGGAAUUGCCAAAUGAUCCUGUAGAGAGCAGCAAAUUAACCCCUCCAACACCACCAGCUCCAUGUCCUAGUAAGAAUCGGUACCACGUGGCUUCCUGAAGGAAACACCGCCAAGAAUCAACAAGGACGGCUUAGGAGUCCUGCAUGAAACCGCCACGUUACAGGCAGCGGCCUUGCAGAAGGUGAUGCAAGCUUUUUGUCCUUCUGACAAAUCCUCUAGAAAUAAAGCCUGAGGAAACAAAGACUACGUUCUCCCGUGACAUCGGCAUUGACGCUGGCAGUGUCAUUGAAGACGCCUCCACUAAGGAAUCCAUCAGGUGUUGGUUGGCACAUCGGUGAGGUGUGAGAUACGGCCCUGCUUCGUAUAGUCGGAGUGUGUUUGAAUAUCAGCUACACCGUACCCUGGACAGCGGUAAUUAACAGAGCAUCCCUGCUUCAGGCCCUGGUGGACAAGCGUCCGCAUGGCAACUGAGAGUCUUGGCUGAAAAGGUGUGUGUUCAUGUUUCCCAGAAGCUGAGGUCCCGCUGUUCACGACGUACAGGCACCGCAAGUUCUGACCGGAAGAUGCCUACGACAGAAGGUGGCCUUAAGGUAGAAGGGGGAGUGGAGGACCUUCUUACCAUAAAGCUGGACUGUGAUAAGGAAGUGAUUUAGGGAAGUAGUGAUUGUCCCUCUGUACUCAGCACUGGUGAGACCGCACCUUGAGUACUACGUCAGUGCUUGUUGUGGGCACCCCACUACAAGCAAGAUACUGGUUUGCUGGGACGCAUUUGAGAGAGCGGGGUGAAACUGGAGAAGGGACUAGAAACAUGACAUAUGAGGAACGGUCUGCUGGAACUGGGGCUGCUGAGUCUGAAGAGGAGGCUGAGGGGAGACUUCAUCGCUCUCUCCCUAUAACCACCUGCAUGGGAGGUUACAGCAAGGAAGUGUCACACUUUGUCAUCACCUGAGUCUGCAGCAGGGCCUCUCCCUGAAGGUGUGUGCGGGGAACGACCAGCUGCGUUCCCAUCGCUGACAGGAGGCAUUGCCCUGCCCGAGUCACCCGCGUGCCCGACGCUUCCAGCAGCUGCUGCUUCCUGCAUUUUUUCUAUCCCUCGUGAGCACUGGAAAGGAGCAGCCUGGUGCUUCCCCGCUGACUCAGGCUGAAGAUGGAUCAGGCCAGCGUUUCCCUGCUCAUCAGCCUCCUGCAUGAGCUGGCAGAGGUUUCCCAAAUGCGAUUCAGCAAGGAGAGGUACCAGAGAGGGAUGGGAUACAGUUGAGUAACGCUGCAGCUAUCCAGGCUGAAGGUUAAGAAGACUGAAAGUGGUGGAUUUGUAUCAAAACCAGCUCAGUUUCCCUACCUGGCAGUGGGACAACAGUGAAAUCAGAAAUCACAGUCUUACUGUCUUCAUAUCUGCAGAUGUAGCUCUACUGUCACUGCGAGCUGUUCCAGUGUUAGCAGGUGGCAGCAUUCACCACAGGUGCUCCACAUCUCCUCCAUGCCCUAACCAGAAGACCUGUUUACAGACAGGGAAACGGAGCCAACGAGCGAUGAUCCAAGUGCCACAAACCAGUGGCAGGCCAUCCAGAGCCCCCGAUUAGACCCAGCAGACCUAGUAACUUCUGCAGCUAUUACAAGCAGGAAGAAAGGGCAGGAGUGCUCUUAGGGGCCUAAUUGGAAACAGAGCUCCCAGUUUCCAAACUCUGAACUUUCACGAGUACUGCCUGGAUGUCAGAGCCCUUUCGUCAGAAACACCAGAGCCUUCUGGAGUGAUGGUCCCACUACUACAAAAUCCCUUUGGAAAGCUACAACAAUUAAACCAUCACUGGGUAAGACUGAAGCUUAGUUUUCAGAGAAGGCUAUCACAUCCCCAGGAUCUGUAAUGAGAGGUAUUCAGAAUACAGCCAGGCAAAGCUUUCUCUGGUGUAAAUUGCCAGAGGGUUACACUGAAUCAUAGCCAUGCACGAUCUGGUUUAUGGAUUUGUAUUUGCUUAAAAUAAUUAGGCUCAAAUGGUCUUAUAUGCAACUUCUGUUCAGAAAGCAGGAAAAAGCUUGGGAUGGGGACAGAGGGUGCCCCAGAAUGGAUGGGUCCAACCUAUGUACACAGACAGACAGACAGACAGACACACUUAUUCUGAAAGUCCUGAAACUGCUUAAGCAAACUGUACGCCUCCAACUCGCCGUCCGGUACAAGAACUGUUGUACUUCUUAAAACAGAAGGAAGUAAUCUCCCCUUAGUGCCUUAAUGGGCUCAUAAUGCUGUAACACUCAGAUAUUCAACCAGCUACUAUGAAAUCUGACUUCAGUACUUAGAGACCUUCACACAUUUUGCAGAGUUCAGGCCUGUUUGCUCUACUUGAAAAUACAGUAAGGUGUUCCUGUCCCUCCAUAAUAAAGCAAAACCCACACUUCAGAUUCCUACAGCUCAGAACAACAAACCAGCCAUGUAGCUCAGGAAAAUUAUUGAUACUUUGAGAGGGCUACAGCAAUGCACACCAAGAGGAAAGUUUUUCUGUACUUGAGGGAAGGCUGUCAGAACAGUAAUAUAGUAGAGUGAGCUGUGAAGAGUGGGAGAUUUAUGUGCCAAUUCUGUGUAUGAUUUAUUUAGAUGAAUCGUUUUUUAUCAAUAUGUAAAAAUCCAAUAAAUAUAACUCCCUAUACAAAGGGUUGCUCCAGUCCCAAUGUUUCAGUGGACAGUUUUGGCAGAAAGUCAGGAUGUGCAUUAAAAACACACUUUUUGAGAAGUCUAAUAAAUAAAAGCUCUGAAAUAUGGUUUCCUACUGAGAAAGGCAUUUUAAAUCAUUUUGAUAAAGAACCUAAAUUAGGCCUUAAAAGGAGGGGGAAGCUAGGUCCCUGUAACUAAUUAUUUAUAGGUAUUUUGAAUAUAAAAGUCCAAGAAAGCUGGCCUCCAUCCCCCAUUCUCUGCCACAAUAAAGGGGAAAGAAAAAGCCAUUCCCCUUCCCCCACCACUACCAAAUUUAAAGUCCAAAGUGUUAGAAAGGGGAGGAGGAAAACAGAAUGAAAAUGGGGAACAGGCACCUGAAGAAAACAAGGAGCUUCAGAAGUCCUGAAAAAAAAUCUGCACGUUUUGUACCAAAACAAACGAUACCAGUAGGGGACGGGCCUUCAGUUCUCCUCUGCAUUACUCAGGAGAAGUGGGCCAUUACCCACUCCAGUCCCCUGAAGAGGGAAUACACUGGUAUUUGUUAAGCACCAGAGGGAAUGGCUUUAGAAGCGAAUAAACAUCUGAAUAGCCCUAGUCCUUCUGAAAGUCAAAGCAAUUCAGAGCCUGCACAGAAGCUGAAACUGCUGGGGACUUGGGCUUCUAAGUCACUUAGGUGCUUCUGAGUAUGUUGGCCUGAGAGCGCAGCUGACAUUCUGCAUGUGUACAGCCACUCACAGGCCCUGCCUUGGAGGAUUUACGGAUUGGAGACCUGAAACCCCUCGUGGCAGAACCAGUGGGGCUGAAGAAGUGCUGAUGUGUUGGUGCAGGGGGUCUGUGGCUCCGCAGCAGUAACUGGCAGCACUCCGAACUGGAUCUCAAGCCAAGGCCAGCGACUCAGGCCCAGCUCACAGGCACACAGCUCUGUGUGGAAAGGCUGAGGAAUGAGAGACCAAUGCGUGAAAGCACAGUGUGUUAGAGAUUUCUGCCACAGUGGUUGUGCCUGUCAGGCGUCCUACCGAGGUUACUGAGUUACUAAUCUAAAAGACAUCUAGAAUUUCCCUUGCUGCUCUCAGCAGAUUGCUUCACCUCGUACUCCUUUCUGCCGCCAUGCGUGGUCGUCUCUCAGGUCUCUGCACAAGGGCCAUUCACUCUGCUCCAACAGGAGUGCUUCCCUCUGAGUUCAGGUUCAUCCCUCUUCUUAAAUCUGACCUUCAGACUGUCUUUUUCAUUGCAGGGCUUAGUAAGGUUUACUACAACACGGGCCAGCGCUGCCCUUGCUGAAGCAGGAGGUUGCUAACAGGUGGCACUUAGCGCUACACAAGGAAAAUACAGGCCUCAACUUGCAGAUAAACCCUUAAAGGUCAAAAAUAACAAAACAGCUCAGCCACGCAGCACUAGCGUCCAGUUUUUAGCUCCAAAGCUGACACAGAAAUAUGUGGCCAGGUUUUCGAAAGAACUCAACAGCUUGAGGGCUUUGUUGAACGUCUGCCUGCAAGCACAUCAGUAGGAACUGCAGGGUUCAGUUCAGAAAAUCUGGUCUGGGCUCGGGGUACUCAAAGAAACUGGCCAAGAGCUCCUCAUCCUAAAUGACCAAAUGAGAAAUAGCAACAGACAAGGUGACCUCACAAAAGUAGAAAGCGCUAGCUGCAAUUAAAAACAACAAGAUUGUGUCCUGAAUUCACACUAGGCUUCAGUUUUCACCAACCCCCCAAAAAUAAAAGUUCCUAGAUGGUCUGAAAGUUCAAAAAAGUGGAAAUUUGAAUGUACAUUGAAACUUAAGCAUUAAAAAAUUACAAAAACAUUCAUUUGUGUCAUGAAAACUUAAACUCGGGCUUCUGACAUUUUAAACUCAAUAACCCAAACCAUCAGCCAUAAUGAUUUCUCCAUCCAAUUCAGCAUUAAUAUUCAGACAAACGUCAGGGGCUGUCGCUUCCCAUAUCAAAGCAAUCCACAUUUGUUUGCAUCCAGAACACCUAAGGAUGUUGUGCUUCUGAUGAACUAGCUGUAAUUUUUAAGCUGAAAUGAAAGAAAGGAAAGAGGUAGAAGAUGACGCCUGAGUGUCUUUUGAAAAACAUCAAAAUGCAUUUUCUUUUAAAUCCCUGAAAAAAGGAUCUGAUUAUUUAGGGAUCCUUUCCUCUUCACUUCAUUAUCAUUAUGUCGUCAGUGCUGGGUUAUCUAAUUACUCAGCUAGAGCUGGAAACUUCAUUUUCAUGUAAUAACGUGUAAGAGGACUACCCUGUGUAGCUUAGUAGUUAGUCCUUAAACAGCUGUAAAGAGCGGAGUCAGGAAGGCUGCAGCACAAGAGGAAAUCCUCAGUAGAAUUCAAGUGCUUUAUGUCUGUCAUAAACAGGCUUCCAGAUCAAAUUAAAGGAAUUUCUUUUAACUGUAUUCACAGUCUCCAAAUACUCUACACAACAAGCUGCCUGAGAUCUUAGUCAUUCUAAGAAAUGAAUCAUAUUCCCCUUGUCAUCUGGGUGUUCUCCGCUGACUGCUAAUUCAUUGUAUAUUGAUUUUAAGACUCUGUUAACACAUUAUAUUUUUGUGUUGAGCCAGGAAGGCUUUUCUUGCUGAAAAAUCAUGUCCCAUCCUCAUAUCUCACAAUAUUCAUUUUUUUUCCUUACCAUUUAUUUCGAAUGAUUGAUCAACACAAUUUAAUCAGCUUUAAAUGGUUCAAUGAAUUGUUCCACACUAUUGUACCACCUACAUUUUUCUACCAGUAUUUAAUACCACAACACUAAGUCUGCAUGUUAGACUUGUGUGUUUGCCUAUUAAUGCAAAAAUUCAGAAGACCAAAUAAUUGCCAGGCUAACACCCUGGGGUCUUGCAGAAUUGUAUCAUUGCAGAGAUUUUGGAAAUCAACUGCUCAGAGAAAUAACUUGUUAUCUAAAAGGAGAAAUUUAA
Cygnus olor (mute swan) is the source of this 18424-nucleotide long non-coding RNA. RefSeq lists it as uncharacterized. The transcript is spliced from 18 exons. Lineage: Eukaryota; Metazoa; Chordata; Aves; Anseriformes; Anatidae. The record is from RefSeq and is a predicted model, not a curated record.